Long non-coding RNA from Lemur catta (Ring-tailed lemur), 544 nucleotides. RefSeq lists it as uncharacterized. The transcript has 3 exons. NCBI's taxonomy places the organism in Eukaryota, Metazoa, Chordata, Mammalia, Primates, Lemuridae. The record is from RefSeq and is a predicted model, not a curated record.
UCCCGGGAAUCCGGCAGGAACCGGGAGUGGGCGAGCCACUGCUGGGAAGCACGGAGGGCUCCGCACGGCGGGUGAUGCAGCCCGCGGGGGCGGACGUGUCCCUUGACAGAGAGGACGGAGAAGACAGGUGUGUGCGGACUGGUCCUGGGUGCGCUAAGGAGAACUGGAGGCGCUCCCGAGAUGGUGAGAAGCUGAAGGUGUCACUAAGUCCUGAUGCCGAUGCCACGCAAGUGACCAGGAGCAGCGCUCUGAGCCUGUGUGGCCUGGCGGGCUGGGGUCUGGGACAGGAGGAGGACACGGGAGCGUAGGACGGUGGGACAGGAGAAAAAUUAUCAGCUGUUUAUACUCACCACAGAAUAACAACAGCUUCUCUAAUUUUCUGGAAGAAUGAGCUGAAGCGAUUAGCCAAGGCUGGAGGUUAGCAGGCCUGGAAGAUUGCACAGGGGAUAUAUUUGAUGAAAUAUGGACAAGACCUGAGCACUGAGGACUGCAAAAUAUAGCUGAUGGGAAUGAAAGGAGCCCUGCACACACGGAGAGAGAUGCU